GGGGAUGUAGCUCAGUGGCACAGCACCUGCCUGACAAGCGAAGGCCCUGAGUUCGAUUCCCAGUACCUCCC
RNAcentral lists this transfer RNA (71 nucleotides) under Heterocephalus glaber (naked mole-rat). It matches the Rfam family "tRNA". Rfam says of the family: Transfer RNA (tRNA) molecules are approximately 80 nucleotides in length. The record is from Rfam by way of RNAcentral. Lineage: Eukaryota; Metazoa; Chordata; Mammalia; Rodentia; Bathyergidae.